Molecule: ribosomal RNA, 1100 nt
Filed under: Lactiplantibacillus plantarum
Lineage: Bacteria; Bacillati; Bacillota; Bacilli; Lactobacillales; Lactobacillaceae
Description: bacterial SSU rRNA
Rfam family: Bacterial small subunit ribosomal RNA
Source: RNAcentral
GGAGGCAGCAGUAGGGAAUCUUCCACCAAUGGGACGAAAGUCUGAUGGAGCAACGCCGCGUGAGUGAAGAAGGGUUUCGGCUCGUAAAACUCUGUUGUUAAAGAAGAACAUAUCUGAGAGUAACUGUUCAGGUAUUGACGGUAUUUAACCAGAAAGCCACGGCUAACUACGUGCCAGCAGCCGCGGUAAUACGUAGGUGGCAAGCGUUGUCCGGAUUUAUUGGGCGUAAAGCGAGCGCAGGCGGUUUUUUAAGUCUGAUGUGAAAGCCUUCGGCUCAACCGAAGAAGUGCAUCGGAAACUGGGAAACUUGAGUGCAGAAGAGGACAGUGGAACUCCAUGUGUAGCGGUGAAAUGCGUAGAUAUAUGGAAGAACACCAGUGGCGAAGGCGGCUGUCUGGUCUGUAACUGACGCUGAGGCUCGAAAGUAUGGGUAGCAAACAGGAUUAGAUACCCUGGUAGUCCAUACCGUAAACGAUGAAUGCUAAGUGUUGGAGGGUUUCCGCCCUUCAGUGCUGCAGCUAACGCAUUAAGCAUUCCGCCUGGGGAGUACGGCCGCAAGGCUGAAACUCAAAGGAAUUGACGGGGGCCCGCACAAGCGGUGGAGCAUGUGGUUUAAUUCGAAGCUACGCGAAGAACCUUACCAGGUCUUGACAUACUAUGCAAAUCUAAGAGAUUAGACGUUCCCUUCGGGGACAUGGAUACAGGUGGUGCAUGGUUGUCGUCAGCUCGUGUCGUGAGAUGUUGGGUUAAGUCCCGCAACGAGCGCAACCCUUAUUAUCAGUUGCCAGCAUUAAGUUGGGCACUCUGGUGAGACUGCCGGUGACAAACCGGAGGAAGGUGGGGAUGACGUCAAAUCAUCAUGCCCCUUAUGACCUGGGCUACACACGUGCUACAAUGGAUGGUACAACGAGUUGCGAACUCGCGAGAGUAAGCUAAUCUCUUAAAGCCAUUCUCAGUUCGGAUUGUAGGCUGCAACUCGCCUACAUGAAGUCGGAAUCGCUAGUAAUCGCGGAUCAGCAUGCCGCGGUGAAUACGUUCCCGGGCCUUGUACACACCGCCCGUCACACCAUGAGAGUUUGUAACACCCAAAGUCGGUGGGG